AGUGAGUGACAUUUUUAUGGAACUGUAGACUUCAGAACCCAUUUUUCUUUCUUUAAGAAACCCUAAAUACUUUGAGAAUUUGAAUAUUUAGGUAGGCUAUGAAUUUGAAUUCUUUAAUCAUUUUUACAGUUACGCCGUGUAGAAUGUUUUUGAACCACUAGUGAUGGAUAUUGCAAACUAUCGAGUUCCAACGUGUGACCUGUUUUUUGCUCCUUCAGGGAUGUACUUGAUUUUCUUUUGCACUGUGUUCACGUGUUAUAAUUACCGAUGCAGAUAAUUCAUUAUCCUUUCAUUGAUUUUUAUCAGUGAGCUACAGUUCUGGCAAAUUAACAAUGUAUUUCCGCCUUUCCGAAUUUGAUUGAUCAUUUUUCAGAGGGGUUCACAAAGAUGUGAUUUUGGAUGUGUAAAUAGAUCCCCUGUAUUUUAAAAAAUGACACGAUAUAAGACGUUUGCAUGCACACGAAUGUAUGAAAUAACAGCAAGGCACCAAAAUUCCCCACAAUUCUUUGGACACCUGUACAGACAACUAGACGUGGGAGUAAGUCACUUGAUGGUGACCUUGU
Long non-coding RNA from Thalassophryne amazonica, 563 nucleotides. RefSeq lists it as uncharacterized. NCBI's taxonomy places the organism in Eukaryota, Metazoa, Chordata, Actinopteri, Batrachoidiformes, Batrachoididae. The transcript is spliced from 3 exons. The record is from RefSeq and is a predicted model, not a curated record.